AUGAACGCUAGCGGGAGGCCUAACACAUGCAAGCCGAGCGGUAGAGUCUCUUCGGAGACUUGAGAGCGGCGCACGGGUGCGGAACACGCGUGCAACCUGCCUUUAUCUGGGGGAUAGCCUUUCGAAGGGAAGAUUAAUACCCCAUAAUAUACUGGAUGGCAUCAUCUGGUAUUGAAAACUCCGGUGGAUAGAGAUGGGCACGCGCAAGAUUAGAUAGUUGGUGAGGUAACGGCUCACCAAGUCAGCGAUCUUUAGGGGGCCUGAGAGGGUGAUCCCCCACACUGGUACUGAGACACGGACCAGACUCCUACGGGAGGCAGCAGUGAGGAAUAUUGGACAAUGGGUGAGAGCCUGAUCCAGCCAUCCCGCGUGAAGGACGACGGCCCUAUGGGUUGUAAACUUCUUUUGUAUAGGGAUAAACCUAGAUACGUGUAUCUAGCUGAAGGUACUAUACGAAUAAGCACCGGCUAACUCCGUG
This 478-nucleotide ribosomal RNA is filed under the name uncultured bacterium. Its description in RNAcentral is "partial 16S ribosomal RNA". It matches the Rfam family "Bacterial small subunit ribosomal RNA", at positions 29 to 507 of the family's 1533-position model. The record is from RNAcentral.